GAAAUGCGAUAAGUAAUGUGAAUUGCAGAAUUCAGUGAAUCAUCGAAUCUUUGAACGCACAUUGCGCCCGCCAGCAUUCUGGCGGGCAUGCCUGUCCGAGCGUCAUUUCAACCAUCAAGCCCCGGGCUUGUGUUGGGGACCUGCGUCCGACGCAGGCCCUGAAAACCAGUGGCGGGCUCGCUGUCCACGCCGAGCGUAGUAACUCACCUCGCUGCGGAGUGGCGCGGGCGCCUGCCGUGAAACCCCCGACCCCCAAAGGUUGACCUCGGAUCAGGUAGGAAUACCCGCUGAACUUAA
Molecule: unclassified non-coding RNA, 297 nt
Filed under: uncultured Sordariales
Lineage: Eukaryota; Fungi; Ascomycota; Sordariomycetes; Sordariales
Description: sequence contains ITS1
Rfam family: 5.8S ribosomal RNA (bases 1-105)
Source: RNAcentral